Molecule: non-coding RNA, 31 nt
Filed under: Rattus norvegicus (Norway rat)
Lineage: Eukaryota; Metazoa; Chordata; Mammalia; Rodentia; Muridae
Source: RNAcentral
UAGCCUCUACUCCUAAGAAGAUGGACAUGGG